Molecule: ribosomal RNA, 459 nt
Filed under: uncultured bacterium
Lineage: Bacteria
Description: partial 16S ribosomal RNA
Rfam family: Bacterial small subunit ribosomal RNA
Source: RNAcentral
CCUACGGGAGGCAGCAGUGAGGAAUAUUGGUCAAUGGUCGGGAGACUGAACCAGCCAAGCCGCGUGAGGGAUGAAGGUACAGAGUAUCGUAAACCUCUUUUGUCAGGGAACAAAGGCGGGGACGUGUCCCCGGAUGCGUGUACCUGAAGAAAAAGCAUCGGCUAACUCCGUGCCAGCAGCCGCGGUAAUACGGGGGAUGCGAGCGUUAUCCGGGUUUAUUGGGUUUAAAGGGUGCGCAGGCGGUCUGUUAAGUCAGCGGUCAAAGCCCGGGGCUCAACCCCGGCCCGCCGUUGAAACUGGCAGUCUCGAGUUGGAGAGAAGUAUGCGGAAUGCGCGGUGUAGCGGUGAAAUGCAUAGAUAUCGCGCAGAACUCCGAUUGCGAAGGCAGCAUGCCGGCUCCACACUGACGCUGAGGCACGAAAGCGUGGGUAUCGAACAGGAUUAGAUACCCCGGUAGUC